UACGUAGGGAGCAAGCGUUGUCCGGAUUUAUUGGGCGUAAAGAGCGUGUAGGCGGCCAGGUAGGUCCGUUGUGAAAACUCGAGGCUCAACCUCGAGACGCCGAUGGAAACCACCUGGCUAGAGUCCGGAAGAGGAGAGUGGAAUUCCUGGUGUAGCGGUGAAAUGCGCAGAUAUCAGGAAGAACACCCGUGGCUAAGGCGGCUCUCUAGUACGGUACUGACGCUGAGACGCGAAAGCGUGGGGAGCGAACAGG
This 253-nucleotide ribosomal RNA is filed under the name uncultured bacterium. Its description in RNAcentral is "partial 16S ribosomal RNA". It matches the Rfam family "Bacterial small subunit ribosomal RNA", at positions 524 to 776 of the family's 1533-position model. The record is from RNAcentral.